Molecule: ribosomal RNA, 253 nt
Filed under: uncultured prokaryote
Description: partial 16S ribosomal RNA
Rfam family: Bacterial small subunit ribosomal RNA
Source: RNAcentral
ACGUAGGUGGCAAGCGUUAUCCGGAUUUACUGGGCGUAAAGCAUGUGCAGACGGGUUGGUAAGUGGUGUAUGAAAGCGUGCGGCUUAACCGGGCAAGCGUAGGCCAGACUGCCAGUCUUGAGAGUGGGAGAGGGAUGUGGAAUUCCGGGUGUAGUGGUGAAAUGCGUAGAGAUCCGGAGGAACCCCAGAGGCGAAGGCGGCGUCCUGGCCCAUUUCUGACGUUCAGACAUGACAGCAUGGGGAGCGAACGGGA